UAAAAACUGAAUCAGAUGGCUGGGGA
This 26-nucleotide non-coding RNA is filed under the name Mus musculus (house mouse). Lineage: Eukaryota; Metazoa; Chordata; Mammalia; Rodentia; Muridae. The record is from RNAcentral.